UGGUGCAUAGCUCAAUUGGAUAGAGCGCGCGGCUACGAACCGCGAGGUUGGGGGUUCGAUUCCCUCUGUGCCAGCGA
This 77-nucleotide transfer RNA is filed under the name Streptomyces spectabilis. Its description in RNAcentral is "tRNA-Arg". It matches the Rfam family "tRNA". From Rfam's summary of the family: Transfer RNA (tRNA) molecules are approximately 80 nucleotides in length. Their secondary structure includes four short double-helical elements and three loops (D, anti-codon, and T loops). The record is from RNAcentral. Lineage: Bacteria; Bacillati; Actinomycetota; Actinomycetes; Kitasatosporales; Streptomycetaceae.